Molecule: non-coding RNA, 803 nt
Organism: Punica granatum (pomegranate)
Lineage: Eukaryota; Viridiplantae; Streptophyta; Magnoliopsida; Myrtales; Lythraceae
Source: RefSeq, a predicted model, not a curated record
ACUUCUCCUUGCCCUUUCCCGUCGUACAUAGGAUGAAUGAAUGGAUAUAAUUAUGAGAAGGGUAAAAUUAAAGUGGGGGGUAAAGGUUGGGGUGCCAAAUUGCAUGACACAUAUGUGGGGGCAUUUCUGAAAAUAAAGCCAAUUAUAUUGCGGAUUCUCUUUCCUCUUCGGAUCGCUGUGACUGGUUUUCCCGUCAUGCUUGAGAUGCUGAGAUCUAGCCGGGGGUAGUCUCCAAUGGAUUCAAUGAUGUCUCGAGUCUUUUCGGGUUUCUUGCUCUGUUUAAAGUCCAAUGGAUGGAUAGCAGAAAGAAAGUGCGCUUGAUGGAUUGUUUGCGAGUUCUGUCAUCACAGGAUUAAACGAACUCAUGGAAGGCCGAUUCGUAACUUGCCAUUGAUUUUCCUGAAGUCCACAAGAAUGUAGAGCUAUCAGACAGGUUACCGUCACCAAACAGCAAGGAAUCGAUCCAGAUGAUGAACGUGAAUGAAAGUUCGACAACUGGGGCGGUACGGAUGCAGUAAAUAAGAAAGUAAAAGUAUCGAAGUCUCUCGGGGGGGGGGGAGGAUGUGUUGGCAAGUUGACCAUGGCAUUCAAAUGAUGACAAAGUGGGGCCCAAUGACCGACUCCUUUGCCUUUUUUUUUUUUCAUUGGUAACAGAAAACUUAAUUAGUCACCACUAACUCAUUUGUUUUUCAUUCACUUUUUUUUUGAAUUUAAUAUUCGGAAACUCAAUUGAUCAUGAUUAAUUAAGUUGAGUCAAAUCCGUCCACUAAAGUAUAAAAUUCUCACAACAUGGAUUUUCUGUA